Molecule: ribosomal RNA, 1015 nt
Filed under: Salmonella enterica
Lineage: Bacteria; Pseudomonadati; Pseudomonadota; Gammaproteobacteria; Enterobacterales; Enterobacteriaceae
Description: partial 23S ribosomal RNA
Rfam family: Bacterial large subunit ribosomal RNA
Source: RNAcentral
UUCUGUAAGCCUGUGAAGGUGUGUCGUGAGGCAUGCUGGAGGUAUCAGAAGUGCGAAUGCUGACAUAAGUAACGAUAAAGCGGGUGAAAAGCCCGCUCGCCGGAAGACCAAGGGUUCCUGUCCAACGUUAAUCGGGGCAGGGUGAGUCGACCCCUAAGGCGAGGCCGAAAGGCGUAGUCGAUGGGAAACGGGUUAAUAUUCCCGUACUUGGUGUUACUGCGAAGGGGGGACGGAGAAGGCUAUGUUGGCCGGGCGACGGUUGUCCCGGUUUAAGCGUGUAGGUGUGUGUUCCAGGUAAAUCCGGUUCACUUUAACACUGAGGCGUGAUGACGAGGCACUACGGUGCUGAAGCAACAAAUGCCCUGCUUCCAGGAAAAGCCUCUAAGCAUCAGGUAACAUCAAAUCGUACCCCAAACCGACACAGGUGGUCAGGUAGAGAAUACCAAGGCGCUUGAGAGAACUCGGGUGAAGGAACUAGGCAAAAUGGUGCCGUAACUUCGGGAGAAGGCACGCUGACACGUAGGUGAAGUGAUUUACUCAUGGAGCUGAAGUCAGUCGAAGAUACCAGCUGGCUGCAACUGUUUAUUAAAAACACAGCACUGUGCAAACACGAAAGUGGACGUAUACGGUGUGACGCCUGCCCGGUGCCGGAAGGUUAAUUGAUGGGGUCAGCGCAAGCGAAGCUCCUGAUCGAAGCCCCGGUAAACGGCGGCCGUAACUAUAACGGUCCUAAGGUAGCGAAAUUCCUUGUCGGGUAAGUUCCGACCUGCACGAAUGGCGUAAUGAUGGCCAGGCUGUCUCCACCCGAGACUCAGUGAAAUUGAACUCGCUGUGAAGAUGCAGUGUACCCGCGGCAAGACGGAAAGACCCCGUGAACCUUUACUAUAGCUUGACACUGAACAUUGAGCCUUGAUGUGUAGGAUAGGUGGGAGGCUUUGAAGCGUGGACGCCAGUCUGCGUGGAGCCGACCUUGAAAUACCACCCUUUAAUGUUUGAUGUUCUAACGUGGACCCGU